CAGUCGCCACGGGAAUACGUAGGUGGCAAGCGUUGUCCGGAAUUAUUGGGCGUAAAGCGCGCGCAGGUGGUUUAAUAAGUCUGAUGUGAAAGCCCACGGCUCAACCGUGGAGGGUCAUUGGAAACUGGAAAACUUGAGUGCAGAAGAGGAAAGUGGAAUUCCACGUGUAGCGGUGAAAUGCGUAGAGAUGUGGAGGAACACCAGUGGCGAAGGCGACUCUCUGGUCUGUAACUGACGCUGAGGAGCGAAAGCGUGGGGAGCGAACAGGAUUAGAGACCCGAGUAGUCCCUGUCUCUUAUAA
This 301-nucleotide ribosomal RNA is filed under the name uncultured bacterium. Its description in RNAcentral is "partial 16S ribosomal RNA". It matches the Rfam family "Bacterial small subunit ribosomal RNA", at positions 509 to 809 of the family's 1533-position model. The record is from RNAcentral.